This 72-nucleotide transfer RNA is filed under the name Bos taurus (domestic cattle). It matches the Rfam family "tRNA". From Rfam's summary of the family: Transfer RNA (tRNA) molecules are approximately 80 nucleotides in length. Their secondary structure includes four short double-helical elements and three loops (D, anti-codon, and T loops). Lineage: Eukaryota; Metazoa; Chordata; Mammalia; Artiodactyla; Bovidae. The record is from Rfam by way of RNAcentral.
UCCCUGAUGGUCCAGCGGUUAGCACUUGGUAUUUUCACUGCCAUGCCCUGGGUUCAACCCCUGGUCAGAGAA